CGAAAGCCUGACGGAGCAACGCCGCGUGGGGGAGGAAUGUCUGUGGAUUGUAAACCCCUUUUCUCAGGGAAGAAGUUCUGACGGUACCUGAGGAAUCAGCAUCGGCUAACUCCGUGCCAGCGGCCGCGGUAAGACGGAGGAUGCAAGCGUUAUCCGGAAUUAUUGGGCGUAAAGGGUCCGCAGGUGGCUAUUCAAGUCUGCUUUCAAAGAGUGGAGCUCAACUCCAUAAAGGGAGUGGAAACUGAGUAGCUAGAGUAAGGAAGGGGUAAGAGGAAUUCCCAGUGUAGCGGUGAAAUGCGUAGAUAUUGGGAAGAACACCAGCAGCGAAGGCGUCUUACUGGUCCUUAACUGACACUGAUGGACGAAAGCUAGGGGAGCG
Molecule: ribosomal RNA, 379 nt
Filed under: uncultured cyanobacterium
Lineage: Bacteria; Bacillati; Cyanobacteriota
Description: bacterial SSU rRNA
Rfam family: Bacterial small subunit ribosomal RNA
Source: RNAcentral